GUGAAUCAUCGAAUCUUUGAACGCACCUUGCACCUCUUGGUAUUCCGAGAGGUACACCUGUUUGAGUGUUGUGAAUUCCUCCAUUCAAUAUUUGUAUUGUUUGGGACUUGGGGAUUUUGUAGGACAAAAAAGUUCUACUUCCCUUAAAUAAAUUAGUAAAGAGUGUUAAUACUCUUUUGAAGUGUUGAUAAAAAAAACUAUCUACACUUUAAAUUUGUAUGCUUUACUUAUAAAAAAAAAAACACUAUAUUUAUGAUCUUGACCUCAAAUCAGGUGGGACUACCCGCUGAACUUAAGCAU
Molecule: unclassified non-coding RNA, 300 nt
Filed under: uncultured Vararia
Lineage: Eukaryota; Fungi; Basidiomycota; Agaricomycetes; Russulales; Lachnocladiaceae
Description: sequence contains 5.8S rRNA gene, ITS2
Rfam family: 5.8S ribosomal RNA (bases 1-71)
Source: RNAcentral